RNAcentral lists this transfer RNA (69 nucleotides) under Pseudochirulus herbertensis (Herbert river ringtail). RNAcentral's name for it is "tRNA-Arg". It matches the Rfam family "tRNA". Rfam says of the family: Transfer RNA (tRNA) molecules are approximately 80 nucleotides in length. The record is from RNAcentral. Lineage: Eukaryota; Metazoa; Chordata; Mammalia; Diprotodontia; Pseudocheiridae.
AGGUGUUUAAUCUAAUUAAGACAAUUGAUUUCGACUCAAUUAAUCGUGGUCCAAACCCACGAAUACCUU